GAUGAACGCUAGCGAUAGGCUUAACACAUGCAAGUCGAGGGGCAGCAUGGUCUUAGCUUGCUAAGACUGAUGGCGACCGGCGCACGGGUGCGUAACGCGUAUGCAACUUGCCUCACAGAGGGGGAUAACCCGUCGAAAGACGGACUAAUACCGCGUACACUCCAUCUUGGGCAUCCAAGGUAGAGGAACUGAAAUUCGCUGUGAGAUAGGCAUGCGUCCCAUUAGCUAGUUGGUGAGGUAACGGCUCACCAAGGCGACGAUGGGUAGGGGAACUGAGAGGUUGAACCCCCACACUGGUACUGAGACACGGACCAGACUCCUACGGGAGGCAGCAGUGAGGAAUAUUGGUCAAUGGGCGAGAGCCUGAACCAGCCAAGUCGCGUGAAGGAUGACUGUCUUAUGGAUUGUAAACUUCUUUUAUACGGGAAUAACAAGGGUCACGUGUGACUCCCUGCAUGUACCGUAUGAAUAAGCAUCGGCUAACUCCGUG
Molecule: ribosomal RNA, 490 nt
Filed under: uncultured bacterium
Lineage: Bacteria
Description: partial 16S ribosomal RNA
Rfam family: Bacterial small subunit ribosomal RNA
Source: RNAcentral